UCACACCACUGCACUCCAGCCUGGGUGAUACAGCGAGACUCCAUCUCAAAAAAAAAAGAAAAGUCUGACAGGUAGCUUAGACUCUUAGUAGUCUGUAUCCUUAACAAGAAGUCCAAAGGUUAUCUCAGGGCUAUUCUGGCAGCUCAAUAAUGUCGUUAAGAACUCAGACUCGGCAGUUCCCGUCAUCUUCGGGAGCUGUAGAGGUAUGAAUUUAAGACAGGCCUAUUUUAUUAAUUUAUUUCCAAAUGCAGCGAAAGGUCCAACGACCAUCUGUGGGCCACUUAAUUCAGGGCCCCCAAUUUGUACAGGAAAAACUCUCAGAUACAGCCAACGCCAUGGGUUUUGCAGACCUGAAAAGCCCCACUGGCCUCCAGGUGCUCAAUGAUUACCUGGAAGACAAGAGCUACAUCAAGGGGUAUGUGCCAUCACAAACAGAUGUGGCAGUAUUUGAAGCAGUGCCUGGCCCACUGCCUGCCGACUUGUGUCAUGCCCUACAUUGGUAUAAUCACAUCAAGUCUUACGAAAAGGAAAAGGCCAGCCUGCCAGGAGUGAAGAAAGCUUUGGGCAAGUAUGGUCCUGCAGAUGUGGAAGACACUACAGGAAGUGGAGCUACACAGAUAGUAAAGAUGAUGAUGACAUUGAGCUCUCUGGAUCUGAUGAGGAGGAGGAAAGUGAAGAAGCAAAGAGGCUAAGGGAAGAACAUCUUGCACAAUAUGAAUCAAAGAAAGCCAAAAAAACCUGCACUUGUUUCCAAGUCUACCAUCUUACUAGAUGUGAAACCUUGGGAUGAUGAGGCAGAUAUGGAGAAAUUAGAGGGCGUCAGAAGCAUUCAAGCAGACGGCUUAGUCCGGGGCUCAUCUAAACUAGUUCCAGUGGGAUACAGAAUUAAGAAACUUCAAAUACAGUGUGUAGUUGAAGAUGAUAAAGUUGGAACAGAUAUGCUGGAGGAGCAGAUCACUGCAUUUGAGGACUAUGUGCAGUCCAUGGAUGUGGCUGCUUUCAACAAGAUCUAAAAUCCAUCCUGGAUCAUGACAUUU
Molecule: RNA transcript, 1037 nt
Organism: Cercocebus atys (sooty mangabey)
Lineage: Eukaryota; Metazoa; Chordata; Mammalia; Primates; Cercopithecidae
Gene name: elongation factor 1-beta pseudogene
Exons: 1
Source: RefSeq, a predicted model, not a curated record